This is a long non-coding RNA of Choloepus didactylus (southern two-toed sloth), 1046 nucleotides long. RefSeq lists it as uncharacterized. Lineage: Eukaryota; Metazoa; Chordata; Mammalia; Pilosa; Megalonychidae. The record is from RefSeq and is a predicted model, not a curated record. The transcript is spliced from 3 exons.
GUGGCCUUCCUGGCUGUUACCCUGGAGAUCGCCCUGCUUGGCGGCGAAGCAGAGGUUCGGUCUAGCCCCAGCAUGUCGAAGUCCGGAUAUCUGCACAGCAGUCCAGACGUUAGCGCCUGUUCCGUAGUCUGGUGAAUUCCUUCGUUCCCGCCUCACCGGCUCAGGGUGGGACUCUGGGUUUGGGGCGCAAGUCAGCUUUAGGCCUCCUAGGGGACCGAGUCCCGAGCACUAGUUGUAAAACAUUGCGUCGCGUUUAUCCUCACCUCGCCUUAUUUUAUUUAUAGUUAGGUUAUUCUUAUGACGUAGACUGAGACGAUGAUUAUUUCACUAACCGGACAGACGGGAAGAGAAGGAAAUCUUCUGUAGCCACACCCCCAGGCGGAUGGAACUGGAGCUGGUGCAUGCUUUUAGCAGACUGCUCUUAACUGCAAACCAGCGCUUGCUAUGAUUUUGUCCAAAGGCUGUGACUGAAAGAUCAAGAAAUCCGUACAUCAGGCCAACCAAAGGAAAUAGGGACAGGAGCAGCAUGCUCAACUACUCACAAAAAUCAAAACAAAACAAUAUCAAGGUUGAGAACUGAGCGUUUGAACAUUUGACCUUAGGCAAAAUUCUGAAACAUGAAGCUAACCCUUCCGUCCUGAAACAGUGAAUCCUUGAUGUAGGGAAUUCGGCGCCUCUGCUGGGUGGAAAGCAUUGUGAUGAGCAAAAUGGGAGAAGACGGUUGAGUUCUCACUAAGUAUUAGGAGGAGGCCAUAAAGCCAUCAAACAGCGGAACAGUGAACAGCGAGAGAGAAUCUGUCACAGUCAGCCCUGCCCAGCCUCUGGGUUUCCAAUUCAGGCAUCCUUUCUGGAGAGCUGAGAAGGAUUCUUGGUGAAAUAAACCGUCUAUAAGGAGGAGAAGAAGCCUUGAGGACUUCAGUUCUGGGACUUUCUGCUCCCGAGCCCCUGUUUUGCUAGCGUUUGGGGCACUGUAUCAAACUAUUCUCAGUAGGAUAUAUUAACAUAUGAGUUGACCACAUGAACUCAGAGGCCCGGAGGACAAUAGA